GGACCAUUGGUGUAGCGGUUAACAUGUCUCCCUGUCACGGAGAAGAUCGUGGUUCGAUCCCCAUAUGGUCCGCCA
RNAcentral lists this transfer RNA (75 nucleotides) under Erysipelotrichia bacterium. Its description in RNAcentral is "tRNA-Asp". It matches the Rfam family "tRNA". From Rfam's summary of the family: Transfer RNA (tRNA) molecules are approximately 80 nucleotides in length. Their secondary structure includes four short double-helical elements and three loops (D, anti-codon, and T loops). Lineage: Bacteria; Bacillati; Bacillota; Erysipelotrichia. The record is from RNAcentral.